Molecule: long non-coding RNA, 749 nt
Organism: Octodon degus (degu)
Lineage: Eukaryota; Metazoa; Chordata; Mammalia; Rodentia; Octodontidae
Exons: 3
Source: RefSeq, a predicted model, not a curated record
CGGGGCCGGCUCCAGGCUGGAGCAUGCGAGCCCGGCUUCCCACAUGUGGGCAGUUGCAAGUUUGUGCGAGGGUGAGUUAGGGUGAAGGUCUGUGAUUGUGUUUGCACAGAAUGGGCGUUCUCGUCUGUGAUACAGCUGUUUGUGUGGCCAGGCAAUUGCGCGUCUCCCCCAGGACUUCGAUCAGUUCGUGUGGUGUUGAUUGAGAUAGAGCCCCUGAGAUCAGUGCUACUUGUGCAGAUCGUGCGGCUGUGACAAGACGUCGGUCUUCCCUUCUAUACGAAGCGCUUUGAGUUAGGACAAGAACUUACAGCUGCGGGGCUGCGGGGUUCCUAUAAAGGGGCGGAUCUGCAAGGCACCAGGUCUGCAUUCUACUCAAGUUGUGCGUCUCAGGAUGGGACCUCUCCCUGGCUGGACCCUGACGUCAGGAAGAACUUGAUCUGGCCUGCUUCACUCCUGCUUCUGAAACUGAUCCUUGAAAUGAGAGAACAGACUCUACACAAUUCCCAUGGCCUUGACAUAAGGUCGGUUGCCUUCCCCUUGCCCUUUCACCACGCUGACCCGUGGGGUCAGAUACUAACGGGCUGGAGAACCACGGCUGGGUCACGUUUGGGGAGGAACCUCAGUCUUGCAGGGAAGAUGGAGGUGCAGACACGCAGGCCCUGUCCACAUGGUCACUUGGGCCCUUGUCCCGUUUCUCUCCAGCCCAGCAUGGAAGCCUCAGCUUGAGGGGGCUCAAUGCCGCCGCAGGA